GGAGCGUCAAGGAGGUGCUGUUAAAUUCGGCUCAUGGAAGAGAAGCAUCAAUCAAACUGUUGCAGAUUACAAGGCCCACCCCUCUCCCCCGUCUCAUUGACGGCCGACCGGUGUACAUGGUGAGACGUCUCCUGAAGGUUUGACCUCGUGGCAAGAGAUUCCAGUACCUGGUUAACUGGGAGGGUUAUGGCCCGGAGGAGAGGUGCUGGGUCUCGCUAGGGAUAUCCUGGACCCAGGCCUCAUCUCUGAGUUCCAGCACCGGCACCCCGCUCAACCAGGUGGCGAAUCGCAUCUCUGCAUGUCUGGCAGACAUAUCAGUGUGGAUGACGGAUCACCUCCUCAAGCUGAACCUCGGCAAGACGGAGCUGCUCUUCCUCCCGGGGAAGGACUGCCCGUUCCAUGAUCUCGCCAUCACGGUUGACAACUCCCUUGUGUCCUCCUCCCAGAGUGCGAAGAGCCUCGGCGUGACCCUGGACAACACCCUGUCGUUCUCCACUAACAUCAAGG
RNAcentral lists this long non-coding RNA (507 nucleotides) under Salmo salar (Atlantic salmon). RNAcentral's name for it is "lncRNA (ENSSSAG00000092177.1, ENSSSAG00020072810.1)". Lineage: Eukaryota; Metazoa; Chordata; Actinopteri; Salmoniformes; Salmonidae. The record is from RNAcentral.